Molecule: ribosomal RNA, 306 nt
Filed under: uncultured bacterium
Lineage: Bacteria
Description: partial 16S ribosomal RNA
Rfam family: Bacterial small subunit ribosomal RNA
Source: RNAcentral
GACAGCAGCAGCCGCGGUAAAACGGAGGGUGCAAGCGUUAAUCGGAAUUACUGGGCGUAAAGCGCACGCAGGCGGUCUGACAAGUCAGAUGUGAAAUCCCCGGGCUUAACCUGGGAACUGCAUUUGAAACUGUCAGGCUGGAGUCUUGUAGAGGGGGGUGGAAUUCCAGGUGUAGCGGUGAAAUGCGUAGAGAUCUGGAGGAAUACCGGUGGCGAAGGCGGCCCCCUGGACAAAGACUGACGCUCAGGUGCGAAAGCGUGGGGAGCAAACAGGAUUAGAUACCCCAGUAGUCCCUGUCUCUUAUAC